This 82-nucleotide transfer RNA is filed under the name Chloroflexota bacterium. RNAcentral's name for it is "Chloroflexi bacterium (permafrost metagenome) tRNA-Leu". It matches the Rfam family "tRNA". Rfam says of the family: Transfer RNA (tRNA) molecules are approximately 80 nucleotides in length. RNAcentral also lists the same sequence under 4 other names. The record is from RNAcentral. Lineage: Bacteria; Bacillati; Chloroflexota.
GGGGAAGUGGCGGAAUUGGCAGACGCGCAAGACUUAGGAUUUUGUGCCGCAAGGCGUACGGGUUCAAGUCCCGUCUUCCCCA